GGGGGUAUAGUUCGGUUGUAGAGCACAUGCUUAGCAUGCAUGAGGUCCUGGGUUAAAUCCCCAGUACCUCUA
RNAcentral lists this transfer RNA (72 nucleotides) under Camelus bactrianus (Bactrian camel). It matches the Rfam family "tRNA". Rfam says of the family: Transfer RNA (tRNA) molecules are approximately 80 nucleotides in length. Their secondary structure includes four short double-helical elements and three loops (D, anti-codon, and T loops). The record is from Rfam by way of RNAcentral. RNAcentral also lists the same sequence under 2 other names. Lineage: Eukaryota; Metazoa; Chordata; Mammalia; Artiodactyla; Camelidae.